ACGAACGCUGGCGGCGUGCCUAAUACCUGCAAGUAGAACGCACAGUUUAUACCGUAGCUUGCUACACCAUAGACUGUGAGUUGCGAACGGGUGAGUAACGCGUAGGUAACCUGCCUGGUAGCGGGGGAUAACUAUUGGAAACGAUAGCUAAUACCGCAUAAUAUUGAUUAUUGCAUGAUAAUUGAUUGAAAGAUGCUAUUGCAUCACUACCAGAUGGACCUGCGUUGUAUUAGCUAGUAGGUGAGGUAACGGCUCACCUAGGCGACGAUACAUAGCCGACCUGAGAGGGUGAUCGGCCACACUGGGACUGAGACACGGCCCAGACUCCUACGGGAGGCAGCAGUAGGGAAUCUUCGGCAAUGGACGAAAGUCUGACCGAGCAACGCCGCGUGAGUGAAGAAGGUUUUCGGAUCGUAAAGCUCUGUUGUAAGAGAAGAACGGGUGUGAGAGUGGAAAGUUCACACUGUGACGGUAUCUUACCAGAAAGGGACGGCUAACUACGUG
This 504-nucleotide ribosomal RNA is filed under the name uncultured bacterium. RNAcentral's name for it is "partial 16S ribosomal RNA". It matches the Rfam family "Bacterial small subunit ribosomal RNA", at positions 29 to 507 of the family's 1533-position model. The record is from RNAcentral.